CGUAACUGGUGGCUGACGACCUGACACGGGCCGUGAGAACGCUAUUGCUUAACGCAAACAGAUACCCCGGCCCGCAGCAGCGGGCUUUUUUAU
Shimwellia blattae is the source of this 93-nucleotide regulatory RNA element. It matches the Rfam family "Tryptophan operon leader". From Rfam's summary of the family: At least 6 amino acid operons are known to be regulated by attenuation. In each a leader sequence of 150-200 bp is found upstream of the first gene in the operon. This leader sequence can assume two different secondary structures known as the terminator and the anti-terminator structure. The record is from Rfam. NCBI's taxonomy places the organism in Bacteria, Pseudomonadati, Pseudomonadota, Gammaproteobacteria, Enterobacterales, Enterobacteriaceae.